AUCGAAUUGGAGAUAAAGGAUACUACAGAUACAGUUAAGUCGGCUUCAUAUCUUGACUUACAUCUAGAAAUUGACAAUGAGGGUCGGUUGAAAACAAAACUUUACGACAAAGGAGAUGAUUUCAGCUUUCCAAUUGUGAACUUUCCAUUUCUAAGUAGCAACAUUCCAGCAGCACCUGCAUACGGGGUAUAUAUAUCUCCCAAUUGAU
This 208-nucleotide long non-coding RNA is filed under the name Mytilus galloprovincialis (Mediterranean mussel). The record is from RNAcentral. Lineage: Eukaryota; Metazoa; Mollusca; Bivalvia; Mytilida; Mytilidae.